UACGAGGGGGGCGAGCGUUGUUCGGAAUUAUUGGGCGUAAAGGGUGCGUAGGCGGUUUGGUAAGUCUUAUGUGAAAUCUACAGGCCCAACUUGUAGUCUGCAUGAGAAACUGCCGGGCUUGAGUAUGGGAGAGGUGAGUGGAAUUCCUGGUGUAGCGGUGAAAUGCGUAGAUAUCGGAAGGAACACCUGUGGCGAAAGCGGCUCACUGGACCAUAACUGACGCUGAGGCGCGAAAGCUAGGGGAGCAAACAGG
Molecule: ribosomal RNA, 253 nt
Filed under: uncultured bacterium
Lineage: Bacteria
Description: partial 16S ribosomal RNA
Rfam family: Bacterial small subunit ribosomal RNA
Source: RNAcentral